This 429-nucleotide ribosomal RNA is filed under the name uncultured bacterium. RNAcentral's name for it is "bacterial SSU rRNA". It matches the Rfam family "Bacterial small subunit ribosomal RNA", at positions 30 to 455 of the family's 1533-position model. The record is from RNAcentral.
AUUGAACGCUGGCGGUAUGCUUAACACAUGCAAGUCGAACGGUAACAGGCAAAGCUUGCUUUGCGCUGACGAGUGGCGGACGGGUGAGUAACGCGUGGGAAUCUACCUUUUAGUGGGGGAUAGCCCGGAGAAAUCCGGAUUAAUACCGCAUAAGCCCUACGGGGGAAAGCUGGGGAUCUUCGGACCUGGCGCUAUUAGAUGAGCCCGCGUUAGAUUAGCUAGUUGGUGGGGUAAAGGCCUACCAAGGCGACGAUCUAUAGCUGGUCUGAGAGGACGAUCAGCCACACUGGGACUGAGACACGGCCCAGACUCCUACGGGAGGCAGCAGUGGGGAAUAUUGCACAAUGGGCGCAAGCCUGAUGCAGCAAUACCGCGUGUGUGAAGAAGGCCUGCGGGUUGUAAAGCACUUUCAAUCGUGAAGAAAUGUUC